UUCCGUAGGUGAACCUGCGGAAGGAUCAUUACCUAGAGUUUGUGGGCUUUGCCCGCUACCUCUUACCCAUGUCUUUUGAGUACUUACGUUUCCUCGGCGGGUCCGCCCGCCGAUUGGACAAAAUCAAACCCUUUGCAGUUGCAAUCAGCGUCUGAAAAACAUAAUAGUUACAACUUUCAACAACGGAUCUCUUGGUUCUGGCAUCGAUGAAGAACGCAGCGAAAUGCGAUAAGUAGUGUGAAUUGCAGAAUUCAGUGAAUCAUCGAAUCUUUGAACGCACAUUGCGCCCCUUGGUAUUCCAUGGGGCAUGCCUGUUCGAGCGUCAUUUGUACCUUCAAGCUUUGCUUGGUGUUGGGUGUUUGUCUCGCCUCUGCGUGUAGACUCGCCUUAAAACAAUUGGCAGCCGGCGUAUUGAUUUCGGAGCGCAGUACAUCUCGCGCUUUGCACUCAUAACGACGACGUCCAAAAGUACAUUUUUACACUCUUGACCUCGGAUCAGGUAGGGAUACCCGCUGAACUUAAGCAUAUCAAUAAGCGGAGGAAUUU
This 546-nucleotide ribosomal RNA is filed under the name Ascochyta rabiei. Its description in RNAcentral is "eukaryotic LSU rRNA". The stretch from base 172 to 325 matches the Rfam family "5.8S ribosomal RNA". The record is from RNAcentral. Lineage: Eukaryota; Fungi; Ascomycota; Dothideomycetes; Pleosporales; Didymellaceae.